GAUGAACGCUAGCGGGAGGCUUAACACAUGCAAGUCGAGGGGCAGCACGGGGUAGCAAUACUCUGGUGGCGACCGGCAAACGGGUGAGUAACGCGUAUGUAACCUACCCUGUACAGGGGGAUAACCCGGAGAAAUUCGGACUAAUAUCCCAUUAACAAUAUCUGGAGGCAUCUUUGGAUAUUUAAAGUUCUGGCGGUACGGGAUGGGCGUGCGUAACAUUAGCUAGUUGGUAAGGUAACGGCCUACCAAGGCUUUGAUGUUUAGGGGUCCUGAGAGGGUGGUCCCCCACACUGGUACUGAGACACGGACCAGACUCCUACGGGAGGCAGCAGUGAGGAAUAUUGGUCAAUGGGCGCAAGCCUGAACCAGCCAUCCCGCGUGCAGGAAGACGGCCCUAUGGGUUGUAAACUGCUUUUCCAGGGAGAGAAACUUGCGCACGUGUUGCGCAAUUGACGGUACCCUGGGAAUAAGCAUCGGCUAACUCCGUG
This 488-nucleotide ribosomal RNA is filed under the name uncultured bacterium. RNAcentral's name for it is "bacterial SSU rRNA". It matches the Rfam family "Bacterial small subunit ribosomal RNA", at positions 28 to 507 of the family's 1533-position model. The record is from RNAcentral.